RNAcentral lists this ribosomal RNA (899 nucleotides) under uncultured bacterium. RNAcentral's name for it is "bacterial SSU rRNA". It matches the Rfam family "Bacterial small subunit ribosomal RNA", at positions 8 to 916 of the family's 1533-position model. The record is from RNAcentral.
AGAGUUUAUCCUGGCUCAGGAUUAACGCUGGCGGCGUGCAUAACACAUGCAAGUCGAACGAUGAAGAUUAUUAGACUUCUUCGGAAUGAAAAUAAUUGGAUUAGUGGCGGACGGGUGAGUAACGCGUGAGUAACCUGCCUUACACAAGGGGAUAGCCGUUGGAAACGACGAAUAAUACCCUAUGAAACUAUCACUUCGCAUGAAGCGAUAGUCAAAGUGUUAGCGGUGUAAGAUGGACUUGCGUCUGAUUAGCUAGUUGGUGAGAAAAAAGCCCACCAAGGCAACGAUCAGUAGCCGGCUUGAGAGAGUGUACGGCCACAUUGGGACUGAGACACGGCCCAGACUCCUACGGGAGGCAGCAGUGGGGAAUUUUGCACAAUGGGGGAAACCCUGAUGCAGCGACGCCGCGUGAUUUAGAAGGCCUUCGGGUUGUAAAAAUCUUUUGUAUAGGAAGAAAAUGACAGUACUAUACGAAUAAGGUCCGGCUAAUUACGUGCCAGCAGCCGCGGUAAUACGUAAGGACCGAGCGUUGUCCGGAAUCAUUGGGCGUAAAGGGUACGUAGGCGGGUCAUUAAGUUAGAAGUCAAAGGCUAUAGCUCAACUAUAGUAAGCUUCUAAAACUGGAGACCUUGAGUAAUGGAAGGGAAAGUGGAAUUCCUAGUGUAGCGGUGGAAUGCGCAGAUAUUAGGAGGAAUACCGGUGGCGAAGGCGACUUUCUGGCCAUUAACUGACGCUGAGGUACGAAAGCGUGGGUAGCAAACAGGAUUAGAUACCCUGGUAGUCCACGCCGUAAACGAUGAGUGUUAGUGUCUGGAGUAAAUCUGGGUGCCGCAGCUAACGCAUUAAACACUCCGCCUGGGGAGUACGCACGCAAGUGUGAAACUCAAAGGAAUUGACGG